RNAcentral lists this ribosomal RNA (497 nucleotides) under uncultured bacterium. RNAcentral describes it as "partial 16S ribosomal RNA". It matches the Rfam family "Bacterial small subunit ribosomal RNA", at positions 28 to 507 of the family's 1533-position model. The record is from RNAcentral.
GAUGAACGCUGGCGGCGUGCCUAAUACAUGCAAGUCGAGCGAACAGACGCGGCGCUUGCUCCUCUGACGUUAGCGGCGCACGGGUGUGUAACACGUGUAUAACCUCCCUAUAAUACUGGUAUAACUUCGGGACUCCGGAGCUAAUCCCGUAUAAUAUCUUGAUCCGCAUGGUUCAUUAGUAAAAUACGGUUUUGCUGUCUCUUCUCGAUGGUUCCGCGCCGCUUUAGGUAGUAGUUAAGGUAACGGCCUUCCAAGGCUAGGAUGCGUAGCCGACUUGAGAGGGUGAGCGGCCACACUGGAAGUGAGACACGGUACAGAGUCCUACGGGAGGCAGCAGUAGGGAAUCGUCCGCAAUGGGCGAAAACCUGACGGAGCAGCGGCGAGUGAGAGAUAGAGGUCUUGGGAUCGUGAAAAUCUGUUAUUAGGGAAAAACAAAUGUGUAAGGAGAUAUGCACGGAUUGACGGUACCGAAUAAGAAAGCAACGGCUAACUACGUG